Molecule: RNA transcript, 2370 nt
Organism: Malania oleifera
Lineage: Eukaryota; Viridiplantae; Streptophyta; Magnoliopsida; Santalales; Ximeniaceae
Exons: 7
Source: RefSeq, a predicted model, not a curated record
AGAAAUAACAAUGAUACUAAAUAUGGAAUUAUGUGUUCUUUGCGCAUUUUAUUUUUAUUUAGGCUUGGAGCAAGUAGACGACGAGUGAUCCGACGCAGUUUCAACCGGAGCCGGAGCCCCCAAUUCGCGGCAUGAAUUUAAAAAUGAUUCUUUUCCAUAGUGGUUAUAUUUUUCUUUUAUUUUAUUGCCCCUUCUCGUGAAGCACUGCUCACAGCUCGUCGUCUUCUUUCUCAACUUGAAGCAACCGUCGUGCCUGGAUCCAUCUUCUACAAAAUGCUUCUGAGAAGCUCUUCGACUCCUAUUAUUGCCACUUUUCUCUACCCCUUCUCAGAGAAUCCUAACAGAGACCAUGACAAUAUCAACAGCAACAGCAGCAACUGCUCCAAACAGCCAGCACUCCAUGACCACAAUGCCUCCAAACUCUCAUCCUCUCAGGGCAGGCACCACCGCCGACUGAGCUCUUUUUCCGGCAACUCUUCUCCGGCAUCUGGGUUACCCGAAUCUGAUCGCAAACCCAGUAGUUUUCGCCUUCGGAGAGCGCAAUCUGACGGCAAUUUGGAGCAAUUGAUCUCUAGUUCUUGCGAUAUAGACGAUUUUCGUGAUUCGAAUGCUUGGACGAGGUCUUCGCAGAGACAUAAAUCGAUGUUGAAUUCGGUUCCAUCUUUUUCGAUAUUUAAUAAUUUAACAGAUGGGUUUGUUGAUGGAAAAGAGGAAGAAGAGCUGGAAGAUCUAGGCGGAGAGGGAUUGAGGAAAGGCGAUGGGUCUCUGCCUAGGACUGUUACUAUUGGAGAAAGUAUAGAGGCUGUAGGUAGUGGGGAUUUCAGUUUUUUGAAGAACAGUAUGGGUUUAAUCAAGGAAGAAGAGGAAGAAGAGAAGGAUGAAGGUUUGAAUGAGUUUCAGAAGUUGGGUACUAGAGAAGGAGGGAAACCAGCUAGCCCUCCCCUGUAUCUGGCUACAGGGCUUGGGAUUGAUGUCACUGGUUUUGGUAGUGGCGUUGAUUUUACUGGGGCAAAUUUCGAUAAUGGCGGCAAUGUUGAGGAGUAUUACAAGAAAAUGGUUGAUCAGUUUCCAUGCCACCCGUUGUUUCUAAGAAAUUAUGCUCAGGUUUUGCAAUCCAAGGGCGAUCUUAGUGGAGCUGAGGAGUACUACUUCCGUGCUACACUGGCAGAACCAGGAGAUGGUGAAAUCUUGAUGCAAUAUGCUAAUUUGGUGUGGGAGCUCCAUCAUGAUCAGGACAGAGCCUCAAGUUACUUCAAACGUGCAGCUGAAGCUGCUCCACAGGAUAGCCAUGUUCUUGCUGCAUAUGCCAGAUUCCUAUGGGAGACAGAGGACAACGAAGAAGAUAGUGCACAACAAGAUCAAAUUCAGUCACAGGCUGAAGAGGAUGGUCUAAAAGAAGUUCCACAUCUGAAUUCAAGAGAGGAGGAAGAGGAACCAGUUUUCCCAUCCUCACAACUGGCAGGAGGGCUAGGGAUUGACAAAAUUGAAUUUCAUAACGCCAUUGGCGGUGUUGACUUUUCUGCAGCUGUACCUGGUGAGGGUGGCAAUGUCGAAGAGUAUUAUAAGAGAAUGGUUGAGGAAAGUCCUUGCAACCCUUUAUUUCUGAGAAAUUAUGCUCAGUUCUUGAGUCAGUCCAAGGGAGACUUUCAACAGGCUGAGGAAUGCUACUUACGUGCCAUGCUAACCAUUCCUGAAGAUGGUGAAAUUAUGUCCCAAUAUGCAAGAUUGGUUUGGGAUCUUCAUCAUGAUCGAGACAAAGCCUUGUGUUACUUUGAGCGUGCAGUUCAAGCAGCUCCACAAAAUAGCCAUGUUCUUGCAGCAUAUGCCAGUUUUCUCUGGGAGACACAGGACGAGGAAGAAGAUGAUGCCCAGAAAAUGACUUCCAGAUGCCUCUUUUCCAUGGAGGAUCCAUAGCUUCUGCAAACUCUUAAACAUAACCUGCAAUGCAGAGUUUCAUUCAGUAUUGCUGUGUCAUCAUAGGUGCCAAAUAUUUAUGCAUCACCACCAAAUUUGGAUAAGCAGUUUAAGCAAAUGCACGGAUCAAAGCUCGCAGUCUUUUGGGUCAAGGGACUCUGGCUCCAGCUCUUCUGAAAUGCAAUGAUGCAUUGUUUCCAGUUCAAUGAUAUGGUACCGAUUUAGAUGAGAUAAUUUUUCCUAUUGAUUGGCAAGAACUUAAUGGGAAGCAAGGCAAGGGGAUCAUAGUUCAUAGAAAGGCAAGAGGUACUUAUUUUGAACAGCUGCCAAAACAAUCACAUUCACAAUCUAAAAUUGCAUGUGAACUUUGAAUCUAUAAGCCAUGUUGGAUUAUUGAAAGCUUGUUCAAAGCAAGCAUGAGGCCUUGAUUGUAUGCAUGAAGUAGAUUAUGUUCCA